AGGAAGCGAGAAGUCGACGCGCCGCAAGGCGUCCGGCCCUCCGCGAGCACCCGCGGGCGAUCGGAUUCCGGACCCGGUCCGAUUCCGAUCUCACCGAGGGGCUGUCCGCGAUCAUGGAGGUGUCCUCGGACGGCGUCGAAUCCUUCUCCAGUCCGCGACGCUACGGCUUGGAUGGUCCACCCGACCCGUCUUGAAACACGGACCAAGGAGUCUAACAUGCGCGCGAGUCGUUGGGUCGGACACGCUCCGCUAAACCCAUAGGCGCAAUGAAAGUGAAGGCCGCCGUCGGGCGGCCGAGGGAGGACGGGGCCGCGCGCUCGCAUCAGCGGGCGUCGGUCCCCGCACCCCCGGGGCGUCUGAUCCCUCAUCGCGAGGGGAGGCGCACCCAGAGCGCACACGUUGGGACCCGAAAGAUGGUGAACUAUGCCUGGCCAGGACGAAGUCAGGGGAAACCCUGAUGGAGGUCCGUAGCGAUUCUGACGUGCAAAUCGAUCGUCGGAGCUGGGUAUAGGGGCGAAAGACUAAUCGAACCAUCUAGUAGCUGGUUCCCUCCGAAGUUUCCCUCAGGAUAGCUUGCGCUCGGAGGAGAGUCUCAUCCGGUAAAGCGAAUGAUUAGAGGCCUUGGGGCCGAAACGGCUUCAACCUAUUCUCAAACUUUAAAUGGGUGAGAACUCCGGCUUGCUCGACUUGUCGAAGCCGGAGACGGGGCUCCGGCCCCCGGGAUCGGAGUGCAUAGUGGGCCACUUUUGGUAAGCAGAACUGGCGCUGUGGGAUGAACCAAACGACGGGUUAAGGCGCCCGAAUCGACGCUCAUGGGAAACCAUGAAAGGUGUUGGUUGCUUAAGACAGCAGGACGGUGGCCAUGGAAGUCGGAAUCCGCUAAGGAGUGUGUAAUAACUCACCUGCCGAAGCAACUAGCCCUGAAAAUGGAUGGCGCUGAAGCGUCGUGCCUAUACCCGGCCGUCGCGGCAGGGCGGACCCGCGAGGGUGCCGUUCGAUGCGGCGACGAGUAGGAGGGUCGCGGCGGCGCGCGCAGAAGGGUCUGGGCUCGAGCCUGCCUGGAGCCGCCGCCGGUGCAGAUCUUGGUGGUAGUAGCAAAUACUCCAGCGAGGCCCUGGAGGACUGAUGUGGAGAAGGGUUUCGUGUGAACAGCCGUUGCACACGAGUCAGUCGAUCCUAAGCCCUAGGAGAAAUCCGACGCCAACGGCGACGGGAAAAAUGAAAGAGAAAGAAACCCGUUGAUCGGGCGAAAGGGAAUCCGGUUCCUAUUCCGGAACCCGGCAGCGGAACCGCUGUUUGUCGGGCCCUCACAAGGGGUUCGUCAGGGUAACCUAAAAGGGCCCGGAGACGCCGUCGGGAGCCCCGGAAAGAGUUUUCUUUUCUGCAUGAGCGUUCGAGUUCCCUG
Molecule: ribosomal RNA, 1405 nt
Filed under: Teinobasis rajah
Lineage: Eukaryota; Metazoa; Arthropoda; Insecta; Odonata; Coenagrionidae
Description: eukaryotic LSU rRNA
Rfam family: Eukaryotic large subunit ribosomal RNA
Source: RNAcentral